CCUACGGGAGGCAGCAGUGAGGAAUAUUGGUCAAUGGGCGUAAGCCUGAACCAGCCAAGUCGCGUGAGGGAUGAAGGUUCUAUGGAUCGUAAACCUCUUUUAUAAGGGAAUAAAGUGUGGGGUGUGUCCUGUUUUGUAUGUACCUUAUGAAUAAGGAUCGGCUAACUCCGUGCCAGCAGCCGCGGUACUACGGAGGAUCCGAGCGUUAUCCGGAUUUAUUGGGUUUAAAGGGUGCGUAGGCGGCCUUUUAAGUCAGCGGUGAAAGUCUGUGGCUCAACCAUAGAAUUGCCGUUGAAACUGGGAGGCUUGAGUAUGUUUGAGGCAGGCGGAAUGCGUGGGGUAGCGGUGAAAUGCUUAGAUAUCACGCAGAACCCCGAUUGCGAAGGCAGCCUGCCAAGCCAUGACUGACGCUGAUGCACGAAAGCGUGGGGAUCAAACAGGAUUAGAUACCCCAGUAGUC
RNAcentral lists this ribosomal RNA (460 nucleotides) under uncultured bacterium. RNAcentral describes it as "partial 16S ribosomal RNA". It matches the Rfam family "Bacterial small subunit ribosomal RNA", at positions 338 to 795 of the family's 1533-position model. The record is from RNAcentral.